RNAcentral lists this ribosomal RNA (253 nucleotides) under uncultured bacterium. Its description in RNAcentral is "partial 16S ribosomal RNA". It matches the Rfam family "Bacterial small subunit ribosomal RNA", at positions 524 to 776 of the family's 1533-position model. The record is from RNAcentral.
UACGUAGGGGGCAAGCGUUGUCCGGAAUCAUUGGGCGUAAAGCGCGUGUAGGCGGCCCGAUAAGUCCGCCGUGAAAGCCCAGGGCUCAACCCUGGGAUGCCGGUGGAAACUGUCGGGCUAGAGUCCGGAAGAGGCGAGUGGAAUUCCUGGUGUAGCGGUGAAAUGCGCAGAUAUCAGGAGGAACACCAAUGGCGAAGGCAGCUCGCUGGGACGGUACUGACGCUGAGACGCGAAAGCGUGGGGAGCAAACAGG